RNAcentral lists this ribosomal RNA (254 nucleotides) under uncultured bacterium. RNAcentral's name for it is "partial 16S ribosomal RNA". It matches the Rfam family "Bacterial small subunit ribosomal RNA", at positions 107 to 354 of the family's 1533-position model. The record is from RNAcentral.
UGAGGUAACACGUAUGCAACCUGCCUGCCACAGUCCGGAUAAUCGGGAGAAAUUCCGUCUAAUACGGCAUAAUGCAUCGACGGGACAUCCUGUUGGUGUCCAAAGGUUGAUUCCGGUGGCGGAUGGGCAGUGCGUCGCAUUAGUUAGUUGGCGGUGUAACGGGACCACCAAGGCGACGAUGCGUAGGGGUUCUGAGAGGAAGGUCCCCCACACUGGUACUGAGACACGGACCAGACUCCUACGGAAGGCAGCAG